This is an RNA transcript of Humulus lupulus (European hop), 3193 nucleotides long. It is a transcript of the gene named deaminated glutathione amidase, chloroplastic/cytosolic-like, with no coding region annotated. The transcript has 7 exons. The record is from RefSeq and is a predicted model, not a curated record. NCBI's taxonomy places the organism in Eukaryota, Viridiplantae, Streptophyta, Magnoliopsida, Rosales, Cannabaceae.
UUUUCUUAGCAUAAGUCAUUCGGUAAAGGCACCAACCUGAAAUUGUCUCCCGCCUCUUCUCUCACUAAAAAAAAUGAGCCCCAAUUUUCUUUUCUCAUUUCCCUUCUCAAUACCCCAAAACAGAAAUCCCCAUUUCUCAGCAGAGCUGUGUUUGGGUUUCCACAAAUCCCCAUUUCUCUCAUUUCCCUAAAUCCCUAAAAAUCGUUUUCCCCCAAAUUACUCUACUGCCUCAUGCACGCCGCCUGGAUGCUCACCUCGCCUGUGAAGGUUCUCUCCCCUUCAUCUCUCUAACUUUGCUCUCUUAGCUCUCUUUCUCCCUCACCGAUGUUUGAAUUUAAUCUGAGAAGGAAGCAGCUUCAGCUAGGGCGAAAUUGAUCUGUUUUCCAGAAAAUUGCGCAUUCGUUGGUGCCAAGGAGGGAGAAAGUCUCAAAAUAGCAGAACCUUUAGAUGGACCUAUAAUGAAACGAUAUUGUUCUCUAGCAAGAGAAUCAUGUAUUUGGUUAUCACUUGGAGGAUUCCAAGAGAAAGGACCUGAUGAGCAACAUUUGUGUAAUACCCAUGUUGUAAUUGAUGAUAACGGGAACAUUAAAAGCACUUACAAGAAGAUACAUUUGUGGCAAGUACAGAGGAAUACUGGAAACCCUCUUUUUCAAACCCUCUAAUUUCGUUUUCAGGCCCUCUUUUUCUCAUUUUUUUAUAUUAAUGUUGUUUUUUUUUGUUUCUUUUCAAAGGUAAAUUACACUUUUUCAAAGCUUCUGCUUUGUGUUGUGUAUAUAUUCUGACAAAAAAAAAAGAUAAAUAGGAUCCAAUGUUACUUACAACAAUGGUUAUGAUGUUUGAACUUUAAUGUUAAUUGCAUCUAUAAUAUUGCAUUUGUAGUGUCUAGAGAUUUGAAUUCGAUUUAAGAAAUAUAGGAAGCCAAUCUUUUUAAAACAAAUUAAGUGCACACAAACUGUUUGUUGAAAGUCCUAUAAGCAAUUAACUUUUACUUCCCAUGAGAAUAAUGGUAAACCUUGUAGUUGUACACAUUUCACUUUGAUUUUAACUUUGGAGUUGUGGAGUACAUUCUGGUAUCUUACUCUAGGGACGUUAUUGUAUCUGUUGGUGUGUUUACUUAAAUUAUGAUGCCUUUGAGUAAAAAAUUAUGUUCUCUCCAUUCUUCUAGAAAAAGGAUUUUGAAAAUAAUGAUUUACAUUUGGAUUGUACUUUUAGUUUUUGUUCAAGCUAUUUUUUGUGCUAACAAAAAUUUUGAAGUUGUAAUAUCUUAAGGAGAAAGCUUAAUUUUAUCUUUUCCUUUUUACUUGUUGGGUUUUGCUAGGUUUCUGUUUUCUCUACUGUUUCUGGAUCGUAUAUAUAAUAAGGAGAAUUUGGAAAAGAUUACGCAGCAACUAGAAGCUUAAAGCUUGGUCAGAGGAUUCUUGAAUUUUUAACUAUGUAAGUAUUAUUUGAGGUCAGGGGGAUGUAAAUUUGGAAAAACAUGUAAAUAUAACCACACUAGAGGAAAGACUUCUGCAGCACCAUUAGCACCAGUUCUAGAGUUUAACUUUGCUGGUCUUCCAAUCUGAGUAGGUGAGAAAGAAUGUCCAUAUUACAUGCGAACCAGGGAGGCGAUGUUACUCUUGGCGAUGGAUGAGGUGGAGAAUCGAUUUAUGGUGCUAAAUUUGUAGAUGAAAACUUCAAACUAAAACACAUUGGACCAGGGAAGUUAAAAAGGCCUUCUCCUUGACCCAUUUCUUCUUUUAUUCUAAAAUGGUGAUUGUUCAAAAGAUAACCCAAAACCCGAGGAACUUCAUAUUAUCAUUACUAAAAUUUCUCUUUAUGUUCACCAUUAGGAAUUAUAUCAAUGGAAAAUGUUGAACCACACACUAAUGGUUCCCAAUUCUUCAUUACUACUGUCAAGACCAACUGGUAAGUGGUAACUAACUGUGUUUAUAAUUGUUAAAGCAUCGUGUUUUGGUUCCAAACGGAGUGAACCCCUAGAGACCUUGAAGGAAACGGUACGGACCUACCAGUUCCGGUAGUCUUUCUUUUCAGUUUACUCUUAUAUCUUUGGUAUUUUAGGGCUCUUUUGUUGUAGCUUCUGUUUUAUUUUUGAUAUUUGUAUGUGGGUUUUGCUGUUAAUUGAUUUGGGUUUACAUUGAAAUUUCUAUGUUCUAUUUUCAAUAGGGAUAGUCAGUAAUAUUUCUUAUUGUAUCAUUAAUACUUGGUUUGUUGUGACCAAAAACUUUUCUAAUUAUCAUCUUGAUACUAAGUUGAAAUUUACUAGGUUUCCAAGGACUUGUGUUCCUACCUAAACAUCUUUAAAAAAUCCUCCUUGCUUCCCAUUCUAGUUGGUAUAUUUCUGUUUUGAUUUUCUAGUUGGGAAUUGAGAUCUCUUACUUUCAUUAUUUAUGGAAAUCCCAUGCUUUUUGUAUAGAGAAGCAAUGCUAAUAUAUAUGUUUUUGCCUUGCUUUUUAACCUGUUUAUGCUUUAGCCAACCAUGGGUAAUGUUUCGUGAGCAAUUUUUUCUUCAAAUUAUCUCUCUAUGAUUUCUAGCAAGAAGCCAAUUGGCUAUUUCAAUUGCAAAAUGUUUUAUUAAAACUACUGCAGAGUCAAACAUGUGAUCGAAACUUCAAUUUUCUUGGUUUGUGGUGCGAUGACAAUAACGUGGAUUUGUGAUACCGUCUUAGAAUCUGGAUUUGGUACUGGUCUUGACAUGUUGGAUGCAUCACACACUGGUUUUAUUACUAUUCCAGUUAACUUCAUAUCCGUGUACCAUCUGAUGCAUAUUUAUUUAUUUCAGGUCAAGGAUCAAGUCUAAUUAUAUGCGUUGGAAUACUGAUGGGCUACACAGAACUGUUGCACAAUAUGUUGUCUCAGCAGUCAGGCAUGUGACUUGAUGGACUAAAUGCUGCUAAGAUAAUUUACUAUGCAUUGUAUGAUGGAAAUCAAUGUAACAGAUUCAUAAAACUUUCAAAAUUAAAUAUACAAAAGUAGAAACCUCAAGACCCAAUACACUUAGAACAGUAAUUUUAACAAGUAGAUGCCUCCAUUCCUUUUGGGAUGGAUAUUGAUUCUAAGCUAAUUGUGCCAUUUCAAAAUUCUUUAAGCCUUAAAUUCUAGAAGUUAACAAAAAAGAAAUAGAUAGUAAGAUAAUCAUCUCAAAGUUGUAGACUACUCAUUAGUUAAUUAUUGAUAUCAACUUAUGUGUCAA